CGACCAGACUCCUACGGGAGGCAGCAGUGGGGAAUAUUGCACAAUGGGGGAAACCCUGAUGCAGCGACGCCGCGUGAGUGAAGAAGUAUUUCGGUAUGUAAAGCUCUAUCAGCAGGGAAGAAAAUGACGGUACCUGACUAAGAAGCCCCGGCUAACUACGUGCCAGCAGCCGCGGUAAUACGUAGGGGGCAAGCGUUAUCCGGAUUUACUGGGUGUAAAGGGAGCGUAGACGGCAGAGCAAGUCUGAAGUGAAAGCCCGCGGCCCAACUGCGGGACUGCAUUUGGAACUGUGUGGCUGGAGUGUCGGAGAGGCAGGCGGAAUUCCUAGUGUAGCGGUGAAAUGCGUAGAUAUUAGGAGGAACACCAGUGGCGAAGGCGGCCUGCUGGACGAUGACUGACGUUGAGGCUCGAAAGCGUGGGGAGCAAACAGGAUUAGAUACCCUAGUAUG
RNAcentral lists this ribosomal RNA (449 nucleotides) under uncultured bacterium. Its description in RNAcentral is "bacterial SSU rRNA". It matches the Rfam family "Bacterial small subunit ribosomal RNA", at positions 328 to 793 of the family's 1533-position model. The record is from RNAcentral.